Molecule: long non-coding RNA, 244 nt
Organism: Xenopus laevis (African clawed frog)
Lineage: Eukaryota; Metazoa; Chordata; Amphibia; Anura; Pipidae
Exons: 2
Source: RefSeq, a predicted model, not a curated record
CAUGUUCAGGCUCCUCUGUAACAGAAUAAAGAAGAGGAAGACUAUCUGUGAUGAAGAAAGUGCAAUAGAUAAAUCACAGACUACGCCUAAACCAUCCAAACCUGAAACUAUUACAAGGAAUGAAGACAAAAAGCAGAAAAAGAAGAAGGAUACUAUAAAUAAAACUGUAGGGGAGGCCAUUGAAAUGCCAUCUGUACAACAAGAAACAAAUGAGCAAGUACAAACACCUGCACUGCCUAAAGAG